Molecule: ribosomal RNA, 383 nt
Filed under: uncultured bacterium
Lineage: Bacteria
Description: bacterial SSU rRNA
Rfam family: Bacterial small subunit ribosomal RNA
Source: RNAcentral
AUUGAACGCUGGCGGCAUGCCUUACACAUGCAAGUCGAGCGGCAGCGCGGGGGCAACCCUGGCGGCGAGCGGCGAACGGGUGAGUAAUACAUCGGAACGUGUCCAGUAGCGGGGGAUAUCCUGUCGAAAGAUAGGCUAAUACCGCAUACGACCUACGGGUGAAAGCGGGGGACCGCAAGGCCUCGCACUAUUGGAGCGGCCGAUGUCGGAUUAGCUAGUUGGCGGGGAACGGCCCACCAAGGCGACGAUCCGUAGCUGGUCUGAGAGGACGACCAGCCACACUGGAACUGAGACACGGUCCAGACUCCUACGGGAGGCAGCAGUGGGGAAUUUUGGACAAUGGGCGCAAGCCUGAUCCAGCCAUGCCGCGUGAGUGAAGAAGG